GCAGAGGUCGCCGAGCCAGGUCAAAGGCGUAGGCUUCAGGAGCCUAUCUCGUAGGAGUUCGUGGGUUCGAAUCCCACCCUCUGCACCA
RNAcentral lists this transfer RNA (88 nucleotides) under Candidatus Bathyarchaeota archaeon. RNAcentral's name for it is "tRNA-Leu". It matches the Rfam family "tRNA". From Rfam's summary of the family: Transfer RNA (tRNA) molecules are approximately 80 nucleotides in length. Their secondary structure includes four short double-helical elements and three loops (D, anti-codon, and T loops). Lineage: Archaea; Thermoproteati; Candidatus Bathyarchaeota. RNAcentral also lists the same sequence under 1 other name. The record is from RNAcentral.